CUGGGGUGCGUUUUUUUCCUUUUAAAGAUGUGAUGGUUACGCAAUUAAUAAUUCCUAUUUCUGAGGACGCACCUCUUCGCUAUUUGGAAAAAGGCUUAAAAGCCGCAGGGGGAGCUCGCUAAACACUUCUUGGAAGGGUAUCAGCCCCCCCCCAAAGCAUUUGCCCUAUAAAACACCUGGAUGCUGGCAACUUUCAGUCAGGAGUCAAAUAGAAGUAGAAAAACCUCACUAUUUUCUUUACCCCACAAGAUGAAGGGCAGCACCAGCCCAAAAGAGACACUCGAAGAUCAGAAAAACUACAAAACCACGGGAGGGUAUCUUUUGGGGGCCUGGCCCUUCUGAACCUUCGGGGUGCUUCAGCCGGCGUGCUCUUUGUGGUAUCAGGGGAAGGCACCAGCCCUUGUGGCUGGUCAGUGAGGAUUUGUGUGUUGCGUGAUUGGCAUUUGUGAAGCCGAGGAAGCAGGUUGUAGGAUGGAAAAAAAAGGCUAUCGCAUCUUUUAAAAGAGAAGCGCAAAAGGGGAAGUGGCAAAGGAACUCCCCCCCCCAAUCCGAGCAGCUCGUUCUGAAUGGCUCUUUCAGAGGAAGCUUGAACAGAAAACUUCCAUUAUUUUACAAUGGAGUCUGCUAGAUCUCAAAGAACAACUCCAAUGAGGAUGUUGCUGGAAGUUUUGGGACAAGAGCCAGUGAAAUGGAAGAGGCCACCCACAUUGUUCCCAUGGAUGUUCUCACCAGAGGGGCCAGCCUCCCCGUCAUGUUUUCCCCAAUAAAAGGGAUGGGAAUUAAUCGGGGAAAACAACCCUCGGCUCCACCCUAUUUCUAUUUUUGAUCUGGGCUAGAAAAUCCAGAGGAGAGCUGUGAAAUAAACAACAAUGCUGAAUUACACUUCGCUUUCAGAGAUUAAGAAAGGCGGGUACUUUUAAUAGCAAAGCUCCAUUCAGAAUCCCAGGGACCUGUUUAUGAAAUAGAAAAAGUUGUUGUUCAGACUCUCUGGGGCCUAACAGAGUCCUUUCGACAAAUCAAUUUGUCCAAGAAACGGGGGAUCUUCUUCUCCAGAGGUUCCUUGGCAUUGUGUGACCCAAUGAUUUAAGCUUUAGCCUCACUAGAACGUCCAAGAAAGGGGUUUGGCUUUACUGCAUUUCAGCUACUCUUGAAUGGUUUGUUCUUUCUGAAGUUCAACUUUUUUUUUUUCCCAAGCCCUAAAAUCGGACAUCAGUUCUUCCGUUUGGUUUGGCUGACUGCCACUGAGUGUGGGUUUUUUUUUUCCUUUUCAUUUACACCUUCAGCUGACUCUUCCUACCGUGAAUUGGGUGUGUGAGCACAUGAAUAGCAAGCAGAAAGGGGAAAUGGUUAUCUUGCAAUUGUUGCUGCAGUUCCUUAAUAUGGUUUCCUUCUAUUCAUGAGGGUGAACACCGCCCACUGUCGCUCCAGUCAAAUCUUUUUCUGAGCUGUAGCAAAAGUAACCUUUAUUUUCUCUAAAAGGUGAACCAAGAAUGAAGCCCCACUGACUGGCAUUCGGCAAAGGUGUUUUCUCCUUUAAAAAAGUAUGACCUUUGCUAGAAAAAAGUCACAGCAUCACACCCAACAGUGAUUUCCAACACACCCAUCUGCUUAUUGCAAAACUGAGAAAUUUAUAAAUAUCAGAUCAGAGGAAAAAGCACAAGUCUGUCAGUUACACCAAGGAACGGUAAAAGCUCCAGGGGAAAAAAAAAAGUUCAAAGAACCCUCAUUGGAUUAAAAAUCUGCCGAUACACGAACUUUUUGUGGUUAAUUCCCAAAAGAACAGUUUGCAAUAUUCAGACAAAUACAUUCCUCUGCUUCAUCAAAGCAGGACAUUUUAAGAAGUCGGGGGGGGGGGGCUGGCCCGAAGUGUAACAUUACCGACAACUUGAACAGUUAAGGGUUAAAUUAAUUUAAUUAGGGUGGACAUUCAAGCACAUAUAUUAAACACUUCAUUGCUAGAUUGCAAAACAGUGAUUCUGCUUGGGAGGAGUGUGGGCAGGGUAGGAAUGAGUAAGGCCUCCUGUGUUGCUGGCAAGCGUGGGCUUUUAUUAAAGUCAAGGUCUUCAGAGUAAACAUCUGUUCCCUUUCUUCCUACCAGAAAAAGAGGAGUUAGCCCAGCAGUCUAGCAGCCAAGAGGAUGUAGGAUGAAAACAGAUCUCACAUGGUUUGUGACUGGUCCUUCUGAUCUGCCAGGAAGUCAGAAGGGAUCCAGGAUCAGGGCCCUACUGAAAUAUAAAAUGCCAGCGUUUCUUCUGGAUGUGCUCAGGAAAGAGAUUCACAGCCACUGGGAGUUUGAGUCAAGUUCUAUUCCAAGGGGACAGAGGAACAAGGACAGGCCUCACUUGGGAGUCUGUUUGCUGCUCGGAUGAAAAUGGGGAACCACGGCUGACACGCGUACAGUGCAUUGGUGUUUAUAAACAGAACUUUGGGGAAGUGCCAUUUUGCAUAUUUCUAAGGAAACGUUUUGCAUACUCUGCCAAAAAAACCCACACAAGGCAAUACAAUAGGUUAAUUCUAUUAGCCCCUAUGAAAAUACUUGCCUAGCCUUCUCUCAGUUUUACUUCCUAAGCCGCCUUUCCUGCAUAAAAUAGUUAAUGUCCUUGCACCUCACUGUAAUCUCUCUUUCACCACCUCAGUGCCCACAGAACAGAAAUUCGGAAACCAUGAGGUGUGCAAGUCCCAGAUCAGACAGCCCUGGGACCCAGCCCAGGAUUCAGAGCCCCCUGAAGGAAGAAACAAGGCUUAGUCCCAAUUCCUGAAGCUGGCUAGUUCUACCCCUUAAGAAGGAAGAUUGUGGUCUCUGGCCUGGCCUCUACAUUUCCCCACUAAAAAGACAAAAGCAAGGCCAGGCUUCCAAGCCUCAUCUACCAAGGAAUCGCCUGGCUACGUUAAAGGAGAGAGAAAAAAUAACGAACAGGGGACAAUCAUUCAGUCACAAGAUGAAAACAAACAUUUCAGGUUUCUGUAUUAACAGAAGGACCUCACGUUGCAAGAAUCAGUGAAUGGGUUUUAUUAGACAGUUUAUGUAAACAAGCAGGUCUGCCAGCACCACGCCAAGUUUUUUUUUUUUUUUUUUUUUAACCUCUGCCCUUAUUUGGUCUAGAACAGGGGUGUCCAACUUUGGCCACUGUAAGACUUGUGGACUUCAACUCCCAGAAUUCCCCAGCCAGCUGUGCUGGCUGGACAAUUCUGGGAGUUGAAGUCCACGGUUCUUAAGGGGGCCAUGGCUGGAUACUCCUGUUCUAGACUGCUGCACAGGGAAAGCUAAAAGCAAUCUAGAUUGCAAAUUAAAACUCCUGCUCCUAUUAACUGAAGCCAUUCUCCUGAAUAAAAAGAAAAAAAAAUCAAGGAAAUUCAGCUUAUGAACUGUUUCAUCCUCAAGGGUUUAGAAAAGGCCAUCAGGCACCCUCCAGGCUGAAAACCUCUGGAGGGCGCCCAGGAGGCUGCUCACAUUAGUGUGUGUGUGUGUGUGUGUGUACCACGUUAUAUCCCACACUGCUAAUUCACACAAGUUAUUUUGCUUUCUUUCAGGAUAAGUGACAUUCAUGUGCAAGUUUAGCUUUUUUUUUUUUUUUUAAAA
This is a long non-coding RNA of Crotalus tigris (Tiger rattlesnake), 3580 nucleotides long. RefSeq lists it as uncharacterized. NCBI's taxonomy places the organism in Eukaryota, Metazoa, Chordata, Lepidosauria, Squamata, Viperidae. The transcript is spliced from 2 exons. The record is from RefSeq and is a predicted model, not a curated record.